Molecule: long non-coding RNA, 1305 nt
Filed under: Nicotiana tabacum (common tobacco)
Lineage: Eukaryota; Viridiplantae; Streptophyta; Magnoliopsida; Solanales; Solanaceae
Description: long non-coding RNA (NTAB_LNC005856)
Source: RNAcentral
AUACUCGAUACUUUAUUUGUACUGACAUCCCUUUUGCCUGGGGAUGCUGCGUUUCAUGCCUGCAGGUCCUGAUAGACAGGUUGAGAGUUACCCAAGUAGGCUAUCAUCUCAGCGGAAGAUGUUGGUGCGCUCCAUUUGCUCCAGAGUUACUUAUUUGGUCAGUAUGAUUCAGACGUGUAUUGUUUAAUAUGGUGGGGCCCUGUCCCGACCAUUAUGGUAUUUAUCUACUCUUCGAGGCUUGUAGACAUAUUCCAUGUACGUAAAAGAUUGUAUGGCCUUGUCGGCCUAUGUUUAGUGUACGAGUAAUCAUUUUGGUCUUAUAGGCCCAAGUUGGUAUUUCAUGUUUUAUUCUACUUAUCUCACGACAGCCUCUCAGGCUCAUUUACCUAUGAUAGUAUGAUACAAGAGAUACGUUACAUUGGUACUCAGUUGAGUAAGGUACCGGGUGCCCGUCGUGGCCCAUCGGUUUGGGUCGUGACAAUAAUCUCGUGUUUUAGUCGCUUAUUGCACUACAAUUUACUGCACUUUAAUUGAGUUUGAGCUUUAAUCACUAGUGUUUUGCACAAAUUGUGUGUUUUAUGCCUUGUAGGAGUGAUUCCGAGCUAUGUGGAUGAUAUGGAAUUAAUCCUAGUAAUUUGGAGCCUUGAAGUGUGAGUAAAAGCCCAAGGGAAUAAGCUGGGAUCGCGUUCGGGGGUCGAGAACCACGUCGGGGUAGUUUAAAAGCAAGAAAAAUCUGUACUCUGAGAAACAUUCACAGCCGCGGCACGUGGAGCGGCGCAUAGGGCGCCGCGGCUGCACAUUUUUCUGCUCCUGUCAAAUUACAAGCUCUCUGGAUUUCCCCACAACCGCCCCGCCUGGCGCGUCUCCCCAUGCGGUGUGCCUGUGCAAUUUUUACAGAGUUAGUAUCCAAGUUCGCGCAGGAAAAGGUAUUUUCGUCUAGGCCCGACCCUACUUAGUAUAAAUACAUAUAAAAUGGUAUUUUUUGGACUUUUGACACAUCUUAGACCUGAGGAAGCCAAGGACGAGGUGGAGAAGCAAAAGCUCAAGGAUUUCAUCAUCCAAUCCUUACUCAAGACAAGAGUAUGGAUCGUUUAAUGUUUUCCUUUAACUUAAACAUUGUUAUGAUGAAUUACUCCAUAUCCAUGGAGUAGUUCUCUUUAGGGUUUGAUGGAUUUGGUGUCUUGAUACUUGUUUGUGGAUAAUUAACUCUAGUUUUUAUGUAUUGAAUCGUUUUGGAUGUUUUAACUGUUAUAUCUAUAUUCACCUGUUCAUGUAAUCGAGAGAGGCAUAGCUUGUGAUAUUGUU